UACGUAGGUGGCAAGCGUUGUCCGGAUUUACUGGGCGUAAAGCGCGCGCAGGCGGGUCGGCUAGUCUGAGGUGAAAUCUCACGGCUUAACUGUGAGGGGUCCUUGGAUACUACCGACCUUGAGGGGCUCAGAGGAGAGUGGAAUUCCGGGUGUAGUGGUGGAAUGCGUAGAUAUCCGGAGGAACACCAGUGGCGAAAGCGACUCUCUGGGGGCAACCUGACGCUGAGGCGCGAAAGCGUGGGGAGCGAACCGG
Molecule: ribosomal RNA, 253 nt
Filed under: uncultured bacterium
Lineage: Bacteria
Description: partial 16S ribosomal RNA
Rfam family: Bacterial small subunit ribosomal RNA
Source: RNAcentral